Molecule: long non-coding RNA, 260 nt
Organism: Humulus lupulus (European hop)
Lineage: Eukaryota; Viridiplantae; Streptophyta; Magnoliopsida; Rosales; Cannabaceae
Exons: 3
Source: RefSeq, a predicted model, not a curated record
CAGACCUAGACCACUGAAUUGAGUUAUUGAUUCGUUUACUGUGUGUUGUCCCUGGCUGGAGUGAGAAAAAUGUCCAGGUUCAGCAGCAGGUUAUUGAAGUUGUUACUUUCAUAGCCUCUUCGUCAACCAAAUUUCCUAAGAAGUGUGUAGUGCUUUGCCUUCUGGGUAUAAGUGAGCGUGUCGCUGGCAUCAAGACUCGUGCUCAUGCCAUGAAGUGCCUUACUACUUUUUGUGAAGCUGUAGGUCCUGGAUUUAUUUUU